CGGCGGUGAUGAGGAUCUGAGAUUGUCAUGCACCACUCUGAUGAUGCUUGCAUCAAUCUGUGCUGAUAAGUUUCUCAAUACCCAUUGAAUCUGAGCUU
Cucurbita moschata (crookneck pumpkin) is the source of this 98-nucleotide small nucleolar RNA. RefSeq annotates it as small nucleolar RNA Z221/R21b. The transcript has a single exon. The record is from RefSeq and is a predicted model, not a curated record. NCBI's taxonomy places the organism in Eukaryota, Viridiplantae, Streptophyta, Magnoliopsida, Cucurbitales, Cucurbitaceae.